Long non-coding RNA from Mesoplodon densirostris (Blainville's beaked whale), 671 nucleotides. RefSeq lists it as uncharacterized. NCBI's taxonomy places the organism in Eukaryota, Metazoa, Chordata, Mammalia, Artiodactyla, Ziphiidae. The record is from RefSeq and is a predicted model, not a curated record. The transcript is spliced from 5 exons.
AAAUAUGAAUGGAUUUAAUGAGGCAGCCUGUGCCAUCUCUGAGCAGAAUCCUCCAUCUUUGGGGCCAUCGUUCUCUUCUCACUACCAUGCACCUUCUUGGUCCUAGAUAAUGAUACCAUUAACCUGAAUCCCAGAAGGAUGAGUGAGAAAUAGACUUGAUAAAAAUCAACAUACCACUGAAUUCUGCUGUUCUAAAAUCUGAGGCCUCUUGCUGUCUGGGUGCUUCAGGAAGACAUACUCCACCUCAUUCAGAUCAGCCAUUCUGAAGGACCUCAGGUCGUUGGGAAGGAGGCCUGCUAUAGCCCAGCUGGUGUAGAUGGUUGUCUCUGCCUGUGACAUGGAUGACCUGGGCACCGACAAUGCUGUGAGGAUUGAAGGCAGCUGGCUGCGCACAACCUUGUUUACGUCUCAUGGCAGUCUGCAGUGUUAUCCAGGACUUGGCUUCCUCUGCUUUUGGAACCUGUGAAGAAGCUGAGUAGUGACUCUAGAAGGGGCUGGUUGGAACCGGGGCUGAGGAGGAGGACGCUGGCAAGCUGCCACUCACGAGAAGAUGCACGGAGUCUUGCAGAUUAGAAACAGACUACAGCAGGAGGGGCACUGAUUUAUAAUUACCUUAAUGGAGCCUGGAAUUGAGACAAAUGGAUGUUCACAUCCCAUUUUCUUCUUAGGAC